GAUGAACGCUGGCGGCGUGCCUAAUACAUGCAAGUCGGGCGAGCAGACGAGAGUGCUUGCCCUCCCUGACGUUAGCGGGGGGCGGGCGAGUAACACGUGGGGAACCUACCUAUGAGACGGGUAUAACUACGGGAAACCGUAGCUGAAACCGGAUAAUAUUUAGCUUCGAAGGAAGCAAUAGGGAAAGACUGUUCUGCUGUCACAAAGAGAAGGACCCGCGGUUUAUUAGCUAGUUGGGGAGGUAAGGGCUCACAAAGGGAACGAUACAUAGCCGCCCGCAGAGGGUGAUUCGACACACUGGCACUGAGAAACGGCCCCGACUCCUGCGGGAGGCAGCAGUACGGAAUCCUCCGCGAUGGACGAAUGUCUGACGGUGCAAUGCCGCGUGAAUGCAGAAGGUUUUCGGAUCGUAAAACUCUGUUGUCAUUGAAGAACUAGUACGUUAGUAACUGAACGUACCUUGACGGUACCUUACCAGAAAGCCACGGCUAACUACGUG
This 499-nucleotide ribosomal RNA is filed under the name uncultured bacterium. RNAcentral describes it as "partial 16S ribosomal RNA". It matches the Rfam family "Bacterial small subunit ribosomal RNA", at positions 28 to 507 of the family's 1533-position model. The record is from RNAcentral.